RNAcentral lists this ribosomal RNA (253 nucleotides) under uncultured bacterium. RNAcentral describes it as "partial 16S ribosomal RNA". It matches the Rfam family "Bacterial small subunit ribosomal RNA", at positions 524 to 776 of the family's 1533-position model. The record is from RNAcentral.
UACAGAGGGGGCAAGCGUUGUUCGGAAUUACUGGGCGUAAAGGGCGUGUAGGCGGUCUGUUAAGUCUGGUGUGAAAUCCCCCCGCUCAACGGGGGAACGGCGCCGGAUACUGGCAGACUUGAGUACCGGAGAGGAAGGUGGAAUUCCUGGUGUAGAGGUGAAAUUCGUAGAUAUCAGGAGGAACACCAGUGGCGAAGGCGGCUUUCUGGACGGUAACUGACGCUGAGACGCGAAAGCGUGGGGAGCAAACAGG